This 466-nucleotide ribosomal RNA is filed under the name uncultured bacterium. RNAcentral's name for it is "partial 16S ribosomal RNA". It matches the Rfam family "Bacterial small subunit ribosomal RNA", at positions 28 to 507 of the family's 1533-position model. The record is from RNAcentral.
GACGAACGCUGGCGGCGCGCCUAACACAUGCAAGUCGAACGAGCGAGAGAGAGCUUGCUUUCUCGAGCGAGUGGCGAACGGGUGAGUAACGCGUGAGGAACCUGCCUCAAAGAGGGGGACAACAGUUGGAAACGACUGCUAAUACCGCAUAAGCCCACGGUGCCGCAUGGCACAGAGGGAAAAGGAGCAAUCCGCUUUGAGAUGGCCUCGCGUCCGAUUAGCUAGUUGGUGAGGUAAUGGCCCACCAAGGCGACGAUCGGUAGCCGGACUGAGAGGUUGAACGGCCACAUUGGGACUGAGACACGGCCCAGACUCCUACGGGAGGCAGCAGUGGGGAAUAUUGCACAAUGGGGGAAACCCUGAUGCAGCGACGCCGCGUGGAGGAAGAAGGUCUUCGGAUUGUAGACUCCUGUUGUUGGGGAAGAUAAUGACGGUACCCAACAAGGAAGUGACGGCUAACUACGUG